UACGGGGGGGGCAAGCGUUGUUCGGAAUUACUGGGCGUAAAGGGCGCGUAGGCGGUUUGCUAAGUUGAAUGUGAAAACUCUGGGCUUAACCCAGAGCCUGCAUUCAAUACUGGCAGGCUAGAGUUCUGGAGGGGAUAGCGGAAUUCCUGGUGUAGCGGUGAAAUGCGUAGAUAUCAGGAGGAACACCGGUGGCGAAGGCAAUCCCCUGGGCCUGCACUGACGCUCAUGCACGAAAGCGUGGGGAGCAAACAGG
RNAcentral lists this ribosomal RNA (253 nucleotides) under uncultured bacterium. RNAcentral's name for it is "partial 16S ribosomal RNA". It matches the Rfam family "Bacterial small subunit ribosomal RNA", at positions 524 to 776 of the family's 1533-position model. The record is from RNAcentral.